UGGGGGAUAUUGCACAAUGGGCGAAAGCCUGAUGCAGCGACGCCGCGUGGGGUAUGAAGGCCUUCGGGUUGUAAACUUCUUUUGCUCUGAACAAGGCAUGCUAAUGGGUGUGUUGAGUGUAGGGGUUGAUUAGCGCCGGCUAACUACGUGCCAGCAGCCGCGGUAAUACGUAGGGCGCGGGCGUUGUCCGGAAUUAUUGGGCGUAAAGGGCGUGUAGGUGGCUGGUUGCGUCUGUCGUGAAAGCUCAUGGCUUAACUGUGGGUGUGCGGUGGGUAAGGGCGGGCUUGAGGGCAGAAGGGGAGGCUGGAAUUCCUGGGGUAGCGGUGGAAUGCGCAGAUAUCAGGAGGAAUACCGGUGGCGAAGGCGGGUCUCUGGGCUGUUACUGACACUGAGGAGCGAAAGCAUGGGGGGCGAACAGG
RNAcentral lists this ribosomal RNA (419 nucleotides) under bacterium. Its description in RNAcentral is "partial 16S ribosomal RNA". It matches the Rfam family "Bacterial small subunit ribosomal RNA", at positions 355 to 776 of the family's 1533-position model. The record is from RNAcentral.